AAGCUGUCAUCUGAAUUGAUGAUAUGACAGCAUUUGGUUGUUUUACAGUGGAAUGAAAUUUGUCAAAGAAACUUAUUCUAGUUGGGUGAGAAACAAGUAAAGCAAAACUAGAUUUAGCUAAAUUAUAAGUCUCUACUUUGCUUUUUGGUAUUUUGCUAGAUUUACUGCUAAAGAAGUUUUUUGGUUGAUGUUAGCAGAUAGUUAUAUUAUUUGUUUUCUUUUGGGGUUGAGGGAUGACAUUUGUUUCGUCCUUGUGGCCAAGGACUUUUUUCUGGCAGCUAGCAGAG
RNAcentral lists this unclassified non-coding RNA (287 nucleotides) under Hevea brasiliensis (rubber tree). Lineage: Eukaryota; Viridiplantae; Streptophyta; Magnoliopsida; Malpighiales; Euphorbiaceae. The record is from RNAcentral.